This is a long non-coding RNA of Arachis stenosperma, 4090 nucleotides long. RefSeq lists it as uncharacterized. The record is from RefSeq and is a predicted model, not a curated record. NCBI's taxonomy places the organism in Eukaryota, Viridiplantae, Streptophyta, Magnoliopsida, Fabales, Fabaceae. The transcript is spliced from 3 exons.
GAAUUUUAUAAUAAUAACAAUACAUAAAAGACAAAAAAUAGAGAGGGAGCAAAGGGAACGAGAAAUAGAAGGAGAACGCAUAGCAAGAGGGAGGAGAAAUAAGGGGAAGAGAGGUAGAAGAAGUGAAGGCCAAUGCCAUCAUUGCCGCAGGGGAGAGGAAGAGAGUGAUUCGAGAGAAAGGAAGAGGGGGCUAGCAUCGCCCCUGCACGUGGAGGGAGAAGAGGGAAACUGUGCUGCUGCUGCCAUCCCUGGAAGGAGCCGAGUAGGGAAAGGAAGAACGUGACAAUGGAAGCCUCUAAUGUUGCCGCUACCAUCAACGUCAUUGGGACUCAUGAUCGUGCCACCGUCGGUAAAGAAUCAAACCGUGUCUCUGCUGCCCAGGCUGAUUGGGUUGGUGCUGCCACCACUAAAAUGGGUUUCUUGGCUUCUAGCUUCUGUUUUUCUGAGCGUCGAAGUUGUUGCUGGUUCAUUUGAUCUCUCUUAGCUGCAGUAAGUCAAUUUCUGUUCCAAAACCCUCACUGCUACCUUGUUCCAAUUUUGGCUCAGUGUCACUAUUUUGAUCUAGCAUUUCCUCUAAUUCUGCUCCACUUGCACGACCCAUUCUGCCGUCAUCUUAUUAAUUUUCUUUUUCUCGUUCUAAUUCGAUUUUAGUCUCUGCUCUAUCUUGAAUUUCCAGAGCCAUUUAUGCUUUUGAUUCCAUUGAAUUUUAAUUUUCCAUUUAGCUGUAACCAUGGUCACUACUAUGGGAACUAAUGAUGUUGCUGUCCCGAUUGUGUUGGGCCGUAAUGUUGCUGCUAUCUCGGUUGAAACUGCUGUGGUGUUAGUAGCGGUUCAAUCAGCCGUCACACAGUAAUUCCGCUUCCGAUUCCUCUUAAGUUCGGCUAACUGAGGCAUGAGAUUUGUUUUUAAAAGUAAAGGUUUUAAAUUAUAAAUGCCAAUAAAAUUAAAUGAGUAACUACAAAUGGUUUAUGGUUGCUUUGUGUGAAUAAUUGAUGGAAUUGAGUUUAUUUGUAGCUAUAAUUGAUGAUUGGUUUGAUGAUUUAAUGUUGUAAUUUUUUAUGGUGAUGUUGCUGAAACUUCAUUGAGUAAACCAAAACUAUGAACUUGUGUUAUUGAUGAUGGAAUAUGUAUUUACUUGUUGAUGAUGCUGCUGGAUUUUCUGUUUUAUUGAUGCAGAAGUUGUGCUUGUCUAUAUAUAUAUAUAUAUAUAUAUAUAUAUAUAUAUAUAUAUAUAUAUAUAUAUAUAUGUACUUGUUUUUAAGUGAAAGAUAUAUCUUAAUGAUAAAGAUGUGUUAUUGUUUGAAUGAUAUGUGUGAUGGAAUAUUUAAUGAUGAUGAUGUUGACAAUGAAUGGUGUUGAGAUGCGAAAGUAUGGAUGCUUACUACGAACCUUAUUGAAGAUUAUUGGUGAGAUAAAAAGAGCUGAGCUCUUGGGGCCUAAUAUAACGAUCCAAUUUUCAGUACGUCAUGAUCAUACUGAAAAUCAAGCGUCACUAACUUGCUUUCCUAAAAAUUAACUAAGUAUUUAUUACUAAGCCUGUAAGCGUAUUAGCACACGAUCGAAUUUUCGAAAAAAACUAAUAAUUAAAUAAGGACGAUAGAAUAACACAAACAUCAGAGAUAGAGAUAAUAUACACCAUACAUACUACUUAUAUAUAUAUAUAUAUAUAUAUAUACUGUCAUAAAGCGUACAACGCUUCACAUCUUGUUAUUAUAUACAUAAUCAACACUCUAGGCCCUGGUCUAUAUAGGAAGUACCUAAGCUGGUGCCCGAAAACUAGCCUAGUCAACUAUAUACAUCUUACUCUCUCAGUAAGUCUAAUCAAAGGUGAGAUUCUAAAUAUAAAAACUGGGCUAACACAAAAGACUCCCAAAAGCCACAUCCUCAGCUCCCAAGCAUCAACUGUCAUCAUCAGAGGAAAUCUCAAUCACAUCUGAACACUACUCAGGAUCCUCGUCCUCGUCAUAAAAAAUCUCAAUAAUCUCAGGAGGGGUCCUGGCAAUCGUACUACUGCUCUGGCCCACGCUCGUCAGUCCACUAAUGGAGGUGGUGUGCAGCUCCUCAAAUAAAGGCUCAGACGAAGACACUAAGAUCUGCUCUACAUGAAUAUCUCACUUAGGUAUAGGCUUUAGUACAUGCUCCUCCACAGGCUCAGGCUCAAGGACCACUUGAUCCUUAGGCUAAUCAGGAUGCUAAGGUACAUGUCUGUCAUAAAACGAGUAAAAUGGAGUAUCAGGAUGAAGCUAAUGCAACCGGAAUUCAUAAGGCAUAUCAGGGUUAAAGAGCGGAGUGUUUAUUGGAUGACAGAAAGGUUGGUUGUGCAGAACAUACAUAAGGGUCCUAAUCUCUGCAGCCACUACGUAAAUUCUAUGUUGUACAAGAUCUUCAUAUAUGUAAGGAGGGUCCAUCUCAUAGAGCUAGAUGCCCAUCUCCAUCUGAUGGGGAAAUAAGGAAGGGGUAAGAACUAGGGAGUUCUUAGUAGGGUCGGGGGUAGUUAGAUAAGUUAGGAUUAUCACAGUUCAAUUAAUUCACAGUCAAAUAUACAGGAAUCACAUAGAAAUAGCCAGUCACAACAAUUUAGAACACCAUUAAAGAAUACACAAAUACAAGAAGACAAUCACAAACAAUUUCACAUUAUCAAGUAAAAUGUAAAUGCACAUUAAGGAUGAUGCAUGUCUAAUCCUAUCGCAGGUAAUGAGCUCAUUUGUCGGUUUUGACCCGCACUUGACGCAAUUGCAAGUCAGAUAAGGCAUUCCAGCAGCAUAACCUCUGUAAGUUUCUACUUCUUGCAAGUGCUGAUUCUCCAGCUAAAGUAUGUCGAACAUGACCUCUGCAAGUACUUGCAGCCGUUGAUUCUCCAGCUGAAGCAUAUGACUCUUUCUCCUAGAAGCCAUUCCAUAUUUACGGGUGUCCCCGCACAAUCAUCACAUACAAAGCUCACGACUUGUGAACUUUAUCCUUCGGCACAAUAACCACACUAUUGCCACCCUCUCGUGACCUUUCAAUAAUCACACGUGUCAAUCUAUCUCCUCUCUUUCUUCAGUCUUUUAUUUAUUUAUCUUUAAUAGUUCAAACUAUCUUCACACUGUUCUCUCAUCAUCCACUAAGUAUUUUAUGGAAAAAGAAUCAUAAGGUUCUUUAAUUACACUAUACCACAAAUGGGCAACGGAGGCGGAAAAUUAGGGGCCUUUCAACUUGCCGCUGCAAUUUGGGUCUGCAGAAGAAGAUUCCAUUCUUGUGUUGCAACAUCAGCGGUAGUCCGAUCCAGAAACAUCGCUAGGGAGUUGGUAGUGCGCGAAACACCGCCAUCGCUGCAAUACCAUGUCCAACUGCUGUUGAUCCAUAAUUUUCUAUUCGGCGUCAAGCUUUUGUCUCUCAUCCACAAUUCCUGAAACCCAAAGUCCUUCAUCCAUGGUGUGCAAAAUCCCUAACCUCUACUCCAGGUUAUCGAGACGCGCAGCUGCCAUCUGAGCUUCUCCCACCAGCGUUGAAGUCUCCUAUCUCCUCAAUUGAAACCGUGACACCCUCCUCCACCAUGAGCCAAUCUGAGCCAUCAUCGCCUCUCCCCUGUCAUUGACAUUAUGUUAGCUUCAACCAUUGGGCAUAUUAUCAUUCUUGUUUUACCAAGAUUCAAGAGGCAUCCGAAGAACCGGGAAAGGUGGUUCCAGAUUCAAUGGAGAAAGAGGACGUUGUCUCCUCUAAAGGUUCUCAUGACGCCGAUUCUACUAGACGAAAAGCUUCUAUGCUGUCCUAUGACCUCAAUAAAAUGCCCGAAGAGAAUGAAUAUCCUUAUAGUGGAAUAUCUCCUAGGAAGAAGAAUGCAUGGCACUUGGCUAUGUGGACAACACAAUACUUGAAUCCUUGAGGACAGUGCUUUAAAUAUUUGAAGAAUCUCGAUUCAAGUUGUAUAGGAUAGUCGAGAAUUGUUUGUUGAUUUUUUUGUGACUAUAACUAUUUAGACAAAUAUUAGAGAUUGUUCUUAUUGGACAGUUUAUCAUAUAGGAGAACAUAAGGAAUCUGAUAUUUAGUUAAGAUUGGUACAUUUGUUAUUGUUUUGAGGUGAAUAAUUCUUCAAUUGGGUUUAUCAUUA